Molecule: ribosomal RNA, 1345 nt
Filed under: Akashiwo sanguinea
Lineage: Eukaryota; Dinophyceae; Gymnodiniales; Gymnodiniaceae
Description: LSU rRNA
Rfam family: Eukaryotic large subunit ribosomal RNA
Source: RNAcentral
AGAAACUAAAUAGGAUUCUCUUAGUAAUGGCGAAUGAACUGGGAUGAGCUCACCAUGGGAAUCGGGGUCCUCGACCUUGAAUUGUAGUCUUGAGACGCACUGCCAACAAAGGCGCAGGUGUAAGCCUCUUGGAAGAGAGCAUCGCAGAGGGUGAGAGUCCCGUCUGUCACCUGCAGCCCCUUGUGUACGGCAUGCGUUCUGAGAGUCACGUUCCUCGGGAUUGGAGCGCAAAUUGGGUGGUAAGUUUCACCUCAAGCUAAAUAUUGGUCCGAGACCGAUAGCAAACAAGUACCAUGAGGGAAAGGUGAAAAGGACUUUGAAAAGAGAGUUAAAAGUGCUUGAAAUUGCUGAAAGGGAAGCGAAUGGAACCAGUUCUGCUGGGCGAGAUUGUCGCAUGCCAAGGCCUCGUGCCGGCCGCAUGCGGUGCUUCUUGCCUUGUGUGUCAGCUGCGGUCCGAAGUCGGGGAAAACUCUGGGGACAUGGAUGCCAACCUCCGGGGGGGUGAAUGUGCCUGGCAAGACCCGUCCUCGGACCGUGAGCAGUGCUUCGGCAUGUUUGCGGUGCUGACGAAAUGCUUCUAUUCGACCCGUCUUGAAACACGGACCGAGGAGUCUAACAUGUGUGCGAGUUCACGGGUGUCAAACCUGCUUGCGCAAUGAAAGUGACUGCUGGGAUACUUGCACCAGCAACCGAUCUGUCAACCGAGAGAGAUUUGAGUUUGAGCAUACCUGUUAGGACCCGAAAGAUGGUGAACUAUGCUUGUGUAGGGCAAAGCCAGGGGAAACUCUGGUGGAGGCUCGUAGCGAUACUGACGUGCAAAUCGUUCGUCAAACAUGAGUAUAGGGGCGAAAGACUAAUCGAACCAUCUAGUAGCUGGUUCCCUCCGAAGUUUCCCUCAGGAUAGCUGGAGUUGAACAGUUUUAUCAGGUAAAGCGAAUGAUUAGAGGAAUCGGGGACGUGUUGUCCUCGACCUAUUCUCAAACUUUAAAUGGGUAAGAUCCAACAGUUGCUUAAUUGAACUGUUGGGGCAAAUGUGAACUCUAAGUGGGCCAUUUUUGGUAAGCAGAACUGGCGAUGAGGGAUGAACCUAACGUUGGGUUAAGGUGCUUAACUGCUCGCUCAUCAGAUACCAUAAAGGGUGUUGGUUCAUUUUAACAGCAGGACGGUGGUCAUGGAAGUCGAAAUCCGCUAAGGAGUGUGUAACAACUCACCUGCCGAAUGGACUAGCCCCGAAAAUGGAUGGCGCUCAAGCGGGUGACUGAUACCCAACCAUUGUUGCAAUUGUGCGGCAUCAAUGAGUAGGAGGGCAUGGGGGCCUGUGAUGAUGCUUUUGGCGUAAGCCUGG